Long non-coding RNA from Nematolebias whitei (Rio pearlfish), 199 nucleotides. RefSeq lists it as uncharacterized. NCBI's taxonomy places the organism in Eukaryota, Metazoa, Chordata, Actinopteri, Cyprinodontiformes, Rivulidae. The transcript is spliced from 3 exons. The record is from RefSeq and is a predicted model, not a curated record.
GAAGUGACGUGUUGUUUUUGGGAAAGUUACACCCACUGUUCGACUUUAUCCAUGAGCUCUACCGUUCAGAAACUCCUGAGGUCUCUAUGAUCCCUGCAGAACUGUGCCAUGGACUCCAAGGUACAUUAAAUCUUGAUGACAACCCUGUUCUACCAGAUAAGAUGGUAAUGUCACCGAUUCCAACGCUGCGAGACAUUUC